Long non-coding RNA from Malania oleifera, 966 nucleotides. RefSeq lists it as uncharacterized. Lineage: Eukaryota; Viridiplantae; Streptophyta; Magnoliopsida; Santalales; Ximeniaceae. The transcript is spliced from 2 exons. The record is from RefSeq and is a predicted model, not a curated record.
AGGGCUAGGCCACCAAAGAGCCACCAGCUUGUUCUCAUUCCCAAACAGGAACUUGUUCCCCGGAGGACCACAUAAAACAGCGAUGUUUUCACCGAGUAACGAUGUCCUGAAGAUUCGAGAGUUGUGUUUGUCCAUUCGCUCUUGGACGAAACUCUCUGGCCUUCCCUUCCGGUGUGCUUGAAGAAACGCUGAUGUUUCGCCUAGGAGAGGCCAUCCAGUGCUCCCUGGGGGAAGGUUUGAACACCUUCUGGGUUUAGUGUUGACAUACAUAAAGACCAAGAGGAGCAGCGCUAGAACUGCAGCACAUGCUAUGAGUAAGACCAUCAGCACGUCCACUGCUUUACUACUUGGGACUCUCUUCGUGGUGUUCUGCACACUUUCGUUUUCAAGAUGCAGGGUCGGCUGGCCAGGGUUGUGCGGCCCGUAUACGGGACUUCAUCUGGUUGGCCCUCCAGAUAAGUCAAUAUACUCUACACUACCUCAGUCCGGCCAAACUGCAUCCUCUCCUAAGCUCGGGACUAGCUACUAUCUCGUCAAAUCGACCCCCUCCACCUAGUGAAUUGGGGAGCUGCAUACUCUCCGAGCACGGUUGACGCUACCCACACACUAUCUGAGAUAUGUGGUUGCACUCUAUCUGUAUCUAGCAACGAUACCGUGCUCUGUAAUCUUUAUCUGUAUCUGUCUGUAAUCUUUUCUCAGGGAUCUGAUACUAUAUAUAUAUACAUAUAUACUCUUUUAAUGUUUUCAUUAUGUUUCCAAAAUUACCAUAACUUUAUCUUUUUGUACUGUAAAUACUAUAAUCUCUGUAUACUGUAUCUGUAGCAUCUUGAUGCUACCUCUGUAUCUUUGUCUGUAUACUCUAUCUAUAUACUCUAUAUGUUAUGGUGAUAGGAAACAUGACAUGCUAUAACUCUGUAUAUACUAUUCUGUAUAAAAUUGUAAUAUAAAUACUGAUCUGAGUAAAAC